GGCCGACUGGCCCAAUGGCAAGGCGUAAGUGAGUUUAUCUAAUUCAAUGUAGAUUGCGGGUUCGAAUCCCGUGUUGGUCA
Molecule: transfer RNA, 80 nt
Filed under: Endocarpon pusillum Z07020
Lineage: Eukaryota; Fungi; Ascomycota; Eurotiomycetes; Verrucariales; Verrucariaceae
Description: tRNA-Asp (ATC) (tRNA-Asp-ATC-1-1)
Rfam family: tRNA
About the family: Transfer RNA (tRNA) molecules are approximately 80 nucleotides in length.
Source: RNAcentral